UGGGGAAUUUUGGACAAUGGGGGAAACCCUGAUCCAGCCAUCCCGCGUGUGCGAUGAAGGCCUUCGGGUUGUAAAGCACUUUUGGCAGGAAAGAAACGUCGCGGGUUAAUACCCCGCGAAACUGACGGUACCUGCAGAAUAAGCACCGGCUAACUACGUGCCAGCAGCCGCGGUAAUACGUAGGGUGCAAGCGUUAAUCGGAAUUACUGGGCGUAAAGCGUGCGCAGGCGGUUCGGAAAGAAAGAUGUGAAAUCCCAGAGCUUAACUUUGGAACUGCAUUUUUAACUACCGGGCUAGAGUGUGUCAGAGGGAGGUGGAAUUCCGCGCGUAGCAGUGAAAUGCGUAGAUAUGCGGAGGAACACCGAUGGCGAAGGCAGCCUCCUGGGAUAACACUGACGCUCAUGCACGAAAGCGUGGGGGAGCAAACAGGAUUAGAUACCCCUGGUAGUCCACGCCCUAAACGAUGUCAACUAGCUGUUGGGGCCUUCGGGCCUUGGUAGCGCAGCUAACGCGUGAAGUUGACCGCCUGGGGAGUACGGUCGCAAGAUUAAAACUUAAAGGAA
RNAcentral lists this ribosomal RNA (563 nucleotides) under uncultured bacterium. RNAcentral's name for it is "partial 16S ribosomal RNA". It matches the Rfam family "Bacterial small subunit ribosomal RNA", at positions 355 to 909 of the family's 1533-position model. The record is from RNAcentral.